UGAACGCUGGCGGCAUGCCUAACACAUGCAAGUCGAACGGAAACGAUGGAAGCUUGCUUCCAGGCGUCGAGUGGCGGACGGGUGAGUAAUGCUUAGGAAUCUGCCCAAUAGUGGGGGACAACUCGGGGAAACUCGAGCUAAUACCGCAUACGCCCUACGGGGGAAAGCAGGGGAUCUUCGGACCUUGCGCUAUUGGAUGAGCCUAAGUCGGAUUAGCUUGUUGGUGAGGUAAAAGCUCACCAAGGCGACGAUCCGUAGCUGGUCUGAGAGGACGAUCAGCCACACUGGGACUGAGACACGGCCCAGACUCCUACGGGAGGCAGCAGUGGGGAAUAUUGGACAAUGGGGGCAACCCUGAUCCAGCAAUGCCGCGUGUGUGAAGAAGGCCUGCGGGUUGUAAAGCACUUUCAGUAGAGAAGAAAAGCCUAGGCUUAAUACGCCUGGGUCUUGACGUUACCUACAGAAGAAGCUCCGGCUAACUCC
RNAcentral lists this ribosomal RNA (483 nucleotides) under uncultured bacterium. RNAcentral's name for it is "bacterial SSU rRNA". It matches the Rfam family "Bacterial small subunit ribosomal RNA", at positions 30 to 504 of the family's 1533-position model. The record is from RNAcentral.